This 216-nucleotide ribosomal RNA is filed under the name uncultured bacterium. RNAcentral's name for it is "partial 16S ribosomal RNA". It matches the Rfam family "Bacterial small subunit ribosomal RNA", at positions 115 to 334 of the family's 1533-position model. The record is from RNAcentral.
GUAUGGGGAUCUGCCCGAUAGAGGGGGAUAACUACUGGAAACGGUGGCUAAUACCGCAUAAUGUCUACGGACCAAAGCAGGGGCUCUUCGGACCUUGCACUAUCGGAUGAACCCAUAUGGGAUUAGCUAGUAGGUGGGGUAAAGGCUCACCUAGGCGACGAUCUCUAGCUGGUCUGAGAGGAUGAUCAGCCACACUGGGACUGAGACACGGCCCAG